UACGUAGGGUGCAAGCGUUAAUCGGAAUACUGGGCGUAAAGCGUGCGCAGGCGGUGAUGUAAGACAGUUGUGAAAUCCCCGGGCUCAACCUGGGAACUGCAUCUGUGACUGCAUCGCUGGAGUGCGGGCAGAGGGGGAUGGAAUUCCGCGUGUAGCAGUGAAAUGCGUAGAUAUGCGGAGGAACACCGAUGGCGAAGGCAAUCCCCUGGGCCUGCACUGACGCUCAUGCACGAAAGCGUGGG
RNAcentral lists this ribosomal RNA (242 nucleotides) under uncultured bacterium. RNAcentral describes it as "partial 16S ribosomal RNA". It matches the Rfam family "Bacterial small subunit ribosomal RNA", at positions 524 to 765 of the family's 1533-position model. The record is from RNAcentral.